RNAcentral lists this ribosomal RNA (962 nucleotides) under Rhodofomes sp. RNAcentral's name for it is "partial large subunit ribosomal RNA". It matches the Rfam family "Eukaryotic large subunit ribosomal RNA", at positions 36 to 1379 of the family's 3401-position model. Lineage: Eukaryota; Fungi; Basidiomycota; Agaricomycetes; Polyporales; Fomitopsidaceae. The record is from RNAcentral.
UAGCAUAUCAAUAAGCGGAGGAAAAGAAACUAACAAGGAUUCCCCUAGUAACUGCGAGUGAAGCGGGAAAAGCUCAAAUUUAAAAUCUGGCGGUCUUUGGCUGUCCGAGUUGUAGUCUGGAGAAGUGCUUUCCGCGCUGGACCGUGUACAAGUCUCUUGGAACAGAGCGUCAUAGAGGGUGAGAAUCCCGUCUUUGACACGGACUACCAGUGCUUUGUGAUGCGCUCUCAAAGAGUCGAGUUGUUUGGGAAUGCAGCUCAAAAUGGGUGGUAAAUUCCAUCUAAAGCUAAAUAUUGGCGAGAGACCGAUAGCGAACAAGUACCGUGAGGGAAAGAUGAAAAGCACUUUGGAAAGAGAGUUAAACAGUACGUGAAAUUGCUGAAAGGGAAACGCUUGAAGUCAGUCGCGUUGGCCAGGACUCAGCCUUGCUUUUGCUUGGUGCAUUUUCUGGUUGACGGGCCAGCAUCGAUUUUGAUUGCCGGAAAAAGGCUGGGGGAAUGUGGCACCUUUUGGGUGUGUUAUAGCCUUCAGUCACAUACGGCGGUUGGGAUCGAGGACCGCAGCACGCCUUUAUGGCCGGGGUUCGCCCACGUUCGUGCUUAGGAUGCUGGCGUAAUGGCUUUAAACGACCCGUCUUGAAACACGGACCAAGGAGUCUAACAUGCCUGCGAGUGUUUGGGUGGUAAACCCGAGCGCGUAAUGAAAGUGAAAGUUGAGAUCCUUGUCAUGGGGAGCAUCGACGCCCGGACCUGAACUUCGGUGAUGGCUCUGCGGUAGAGCAUGUAUGUUGGGACCCGAAAGAUGGUGAACUAUGCCUGAAUAGGGUGAAGCCAGAGGAAACUCUGGUGGAGGCUCGUAGCGAUUCUGACGUGCAAAUCGAUCGUCAAAUUUGGGUAUAGGGGCGAAAGACUAAUCGAACCAUCUAGUAGCUGGUUCUGCGUCUCCCCCCCCCAAAAAAAAAA